AUUGAACGCUGGCGGCAUGCCUUACACAUGCAAGUCGAACGGUAACGCGGGGCAACCUGGCGACGAGUGGCGAACGGGUGAGUAAUGCAUCGGAACGUACCCAGUAGUGGGGGAUAGCCCGGCGAAAGCCGGAUUAAUACCGCAUACGACCUACGGGUGAAAGGGGGGGAGUCGCAAGACCUCUCGCUAUUGGAGCGGCCGAUGUCAGAUUAGGUAGUUGGUGGGGUAAAGACCUACCAAGCCUGUGAUCUGUAGCUGGUCUGAGAGGACGACCAGCCACACUGGGACUGAGACACGGCCCAGACUCCUACGGGAGGGCAGCAGUGGGGAAUUUUGGACAAUGGGCGGCAAGCCUGAUCCAGCAAUGCCGCGUGCGGGAAGAAGGCCUCGGUUGGUAAC
Molecule: ribosomal RNA, 399 nt
Filed under: uncultured bacterium
Lineage: Bacteria
Description: bacterial SSU rRNA
Rfam family: Bacterial small subunit ribosomal RNA
Source: RNAcentral